UACGGAGGAUCCGAGCGUUAUCCGGAUUUAUUGGGUUUAAAGGGUGCGUAGGCGGAAAUGUAAGUCAGUGGUGAAAUCCUGCAGCUUAACUGUAGAAUAGCCGUUGAAACUGUGUUUCUUGAGUACAUUUGAGGUAGGCGGAAUGUGGUGUGUAGCGGUGAAAUGCAUAGAUAUACCACAGAACACCGAUUGCGAAGGCAGCUUACUAAACUGUCACUGACGCUGAUACACGAAAGCGUGGGUAUCAAACAGGAUUAGAUA
RNAcentral lists this ribosomal RNA (261 nucleotides) under uncultured prokaryote. RNAcentral's name for it is "partial 16S ribosomal RNA". It matches the Rfam family "Bacterial small subunit ribosomal RNA", at positions 524 to 784 of the family's 1533-position model. The record is from RNAcentral.